Long non-coding RNA from Corticium candelabrum, 532 nucleotides. RefSeq lists it as uncharacterized. NCBI's taxonomy places the organism in Eukaryota, Metazoa, Porifera, Homoscleromorpha, Homosclerophorida, Plakinidae. The record is from RefSeq and is a predicted model, not a curated record. The transcript has 3 exons.
GGCUCCUCCCAUAGAGCAUGUUUGGUAGCCGCUAGACAUGUUGCAGUUUUAGUUUCUACGGAAACGACAUGCCGAUCUAUUGCGCAUUCUUUGAGUAUUAACUACAACGCUUAUUUCAAAUGGGGCCCUAGUGUUGAACUCGAAGUCAUGUUUGCCUCAUAAAUCGACGUUUAAGAAAGCAAUGGAAUAACAGAAGGCACAAUCAUCUGAUUCGACGAUUGUUUGAGAGCUAAAUCUAUUAUGGUCAUCCAGAAACUUCUAGCUGCCAACUCCUCACCAUGUUUUUCGUAGAUGCUCUCAUCGACAGCUCUGUUUGGUAGUCAUUCGACAUAUAUGUCUAUUGUUGGAGAUCAAAGCGUGUAUAAUGCUGGUGCUACUUAUUGAUGAUUGCAAAGAACUCUGUCAGUGUAUUUGAGAACCAUGCUAGUUGCCAUAUGUGCCAGAUAGGCAUCUACUGAUGUUAUCUUGGUUUAAAAUGAGGGUGAUUUUAUGUACAACUGUAUGUUUUAUGUUCCAUUCAUAUUUAUAUUGA